AUGCUAUGUUCGAGCACAUGCACUAAAAUUGGAAUGAUAACAGAGGUUUGCAUGGCCCUUAUACAAGGAUGACAUGCAAAUUCAUGAAGCGUUCCAUAUUUUU
RNAcentral lists this small nuclear RNA (103 nucleotides) under Castor canadensis (American beaver). The record is from RNAcentral. Lineage: Eukaryota; Metazoa; Chordata; Mammalia; Rodentia; Castoridae.